AACGCACCUUGCGCCCUCUGGCUAUUCCAGAGGGCAUGCCUGUUUGAGUAUCAUGAACACCUCAACUCUUGCGGUUUUGCCGUGAUGAGCUUGGACUUUGGGGGUCUUGCUGGCCUGUGGUCAGCUCCUCUCAAAUGAAUCAGCUUGCCAGUGUUUGGUGGCGCCACGGGUGUGAUAACUAUCUACGCUUGCGGCUUCCACCAGGUAACCUUCAGUGAUGGAGGUUCGCUGGAGCUCAUAAACGUCUCUCCUCAGUGAGGACAGCUUCUUGAAUGUUUGAUCUCAAAUCAGGUAGGGCUACCCGCUGAACUUAA
This 314-nucleotide unclassified non-coding RNA is filed under the name uncultured Thelephoraceae. RNAcentral's name for it is "sequence contains ITS2". The record is from RNAcentral. Lineage: Eukaryota; Fungi; Basidiomycota; Agaricomycetes; Thelephorales; Thelephoraceae.